RNAcentral lists this ribosomal RNA (253 nucleotides) under uncultured bacterium. Its description in RNAcentral is "partial 16S ribosomal RNA". It matches the Rfam family "Bacterial small subunit ribosomal RNA", at positions 524 to 776 of the family's 1533-position model. The record is from RNAcentral.
UACAGAGGUCUCAAGCGUUGUUCGGAUUCAUUGGGCGUAAAGGGUGCGUAGGCGGCGAGGCAAGUCUGGUGUGAAAUCCCGGGGCUCAACUCCGGAACUGCACUGGAUACUGCUUUGCUAGAGUACUGGAGAGGGAACUGGAAUUUACGGUGUAGCAGUGGAAUGCGUAGAUAUCGUAAGGAAGACCAGCGGCGAAGGCGAGUUCCUGGACAGUAACUGACGCUGAGGCACGAAGGCCAGGGGAGCAAACGGG